CUGACGGUAGUCGUAUGCUCGUCUCCGAGACUAAGCCAUGCAAGUCCAAGUACACGUCCUUGAACGACGGAAACUGCGAACGGCUCAUUAAAUCAGUUGCGAUCUACUCGGCGUUCCGCGCCGCCGGAUAACCGUAGUAAUUCUAGGGCUAAUACGUGCGAAGCGCCCGAAGCCGCGAGGCGACGGGCGUUCUCGCCGGAUGUAGGAACCGACCCGGGGACCGCCGGGGCAACCCGGCGCCCCCGAGACGGGGCGAACCACGGUGAAAUGACGGAUCGUCGGCCCCGCGCCGGCGACUCGCCGAAUGAGUUUCUGACCUAUCAACUCGAGACGGCGGGGUAGAGGCCCGCCGCGGUAACGACGGGUAACGGGGAAUCAGGGUUCGAUUCCGGAGAGGGAGCCCGAGAAACGGCUACCACUUCCAAGGAAGGCAGCAGGG
This 439-nucleotide ribosomal RNA is filed under the name uncultured eukaryote. RNAcentral's name for it is "bacterial SSU rRNA". It matches the Rfam family "Eukaryotic small subunit ribosomal RNA", at positions 14 to 433 of the family's 1831-position model. The record is from RNAcentral.